GACAAGAAAUAUUGAUAUUGGACCCAAAGGGUACAAUGAUUGAAAUGAGAACAAUAUAAAAAACUUAACGACUAACAAUUGGAGGGCAAGUCUGGUGCCAGCAGCCGCGGUAAUUCCAGCUCCAAGAGUGUAUAUUAAAGUUGUUGCGGUUAAAAAGCUCGUAGUUGAAUUUCUGAAAAUAAUCUUGUGAUUGAUUUAACCGUCAUGAACAAAAAUUGUUUACAUACUUGAUAGAUGGAAACAUUUAUCUUAAUGACUUUGAAAAAAUUAGAGUGUUCAAAGCAUGAUUCACAUUUGAAUAAUACAGCAUGGGAUAAUAUAAUAUGACAUUAGUUAAAAUUUGUUGGUUUCUUUGGCUAAUGUAAUGAUUAAAAGGGACAGUUGGAGUAAUUUAUAUUGGUUGGGGAGGGGUGAAAUCCUAUGAUCCUUCCAAGAUAAACUAGUGCGAAAGCAUUUUACUAGGAUGUUUUCAUUAAUCAAGAACGAAAGUUGGGGGGAUCGAAGAUGAUCAGAUACCGUCGUAGUCUCAACC
This 532-nucleotide ribosomal RNA is filed under the name uncultured eukaryote. Its description in RNAcentral is "bacterial SSU rRNA". It matches the Rfam family "Eukaryotic small subunit ribosomal RNA", at positions 469 to 1031 of the family's 1831-position model. The record is from RNAcentral.